CAGCUCUGUGGCCUUGGAUCAUCCAUGCAUCGAACGAGGAAGGAGAAUCGACAAUCCAAAGCUUGCAAUUUUCCGGCGAAGUCUUCUCUAAAUUCCGACGACUCCGACGGCCGAUUUAACUCCAUGGGAACUCGGAAGUGUGGCUGGUUGAGCUGAAAUCGUUGGCUGGGCUGAGCUGAUAGUUCCAGAAUUCGUUAAGUUUGGAAACUGACGAGAAAAGAGAGAGUCCAUUGUCGUGUUUUCACCAGAAAGCUAAUGUGAAGGAGUUUGAGUUCCAGUCUGCAAAUCAGACAUAACAAAGGAGUCCUUGUGUUCACUCAAGAUACAUGGAAAAUACAGCAGCAAUACCAUCUAGCUUUUCACAUAUUGAGUGCUUCACAGAAGGUUUUUAUUAAGUUCCUCAUUCCAGCUCCUGCCAUUACUCCCAGCUGCACUAUGCUCAUUUCAAGAUGGCUCUCCAAGCAACUGAAAAAGGUUGGUUUUCCAAGUCACUUUAUCAUGCUUAUAUCUAUGUGUAUUUUGGUGUGUGCUCAUUUAUAUGUAUAUGACAUUUUUGUAUGUGUUUGUGAUAUUAAAUGAUUGACUGUUUAUUUUGCGGCAACAAGUGGUAUCAGAGCCACAAAUCAUUUUGCACAAAUCGUUGUUUACAUGUUAUGUUUAUUUUCAGAAAUGUUUCUUUUUGAUGGAAAUGAAAUGAAACAAACAUUUGGGCUUAGACCCGUUUCUGGACCCAAAGAGCAUGACCCAACCCAUUUUAAAACAAGUGGAUCUUCUUAACCCGUAACCUUAUUACGGACCCUUACUUAAAAAAAAGUCAUCGUCAUCAUCUUCUAGUGGUCCUUUUUCUGGAGAAAGAACGCUGAAUUGAUUUUGUUGAAUUCGGAUUACUCGGCUCGAAUUGAUUGAUGAGACUUUCUCAGACUGGUUCGAUAACAUGUUGUAUGUAUAGAAUUGCUUCCACUAACACUUGUUUUGCAGCGCUGGAAAGCAUCCGGGUAUGUUUUCUGUGAAGAUUGAAAUUUAUGUUAAUUUCACUUUGAAUUACAUGUUAAGAACCCUAGAGCUCUCCUGGGGGGGCAUUUAAGCUACUAGGUUGGUGCUCAGAUGAAAUUUAAACUUCGAAUUGUUUGAUGAUUGUUUUUCAUGUUGGUUGAUUAUAUUUGCUUAUAUAUUGAACAACAUGUGGAUGAAUGAUUCCUUGAAAAUUGCUUUCAAUGAAAUGGUAUGAUUAUAUAAUUGCUUGAUGACAUGAUCGUAAAUCCACUUGUGAGAAUUUUUGACCUUUAAAUGAUUGUAACUAUCUCCCCGUUGCAAGUUUGAUUGUCAAGUUUUUGUAUUGCAAGUAAAAGAGAGCUCCUAGUAAACACAUGUUUAUGGUCUGGAGCAUAUGGAUCUCAGUUUCAGUUUUUGAAUAUCAACUUGAGUCUUUUGGACCCAAUUGUGUGAGAUUUGAAUGUUGAGGAGUUAUUUGUUAAAAUUAGGAUGUUAGGGACUGAACUGUUGACGCACCCAAAGUACAGGGUGUGACCAGUAAUUUCCAAAAAAAAAAAAAAAAACCCUUAGCCCACCCACACUUAGAUACGUAAGUGAGAAUCGCACCCAUGACUUCUAUAAUGUUGGAAUUAUAAUUUACCAACAGGUCACAUCUCACGACAAAAAAUAAAUUCAGAUAUGUAUCUAAGUAAGAGAUAUAAGUUUACGGAUUAGUUUUCUUCUAUAUUGUAGUUAUAAACAAUCGAGAUGCAUAUGGUGAGAAGAACUCCAUAUAUGAGCUAUACUGAAAUGCUGAAUUUUUGAGCUCUUAAUACAUCUACCACAAAAUUGCGUAAUGUUUACCUUAGAAUAAGGUUACAAUAGUGGUUUGUCAACCAACAACACACACA
Rosa rugosa (rugosa rose) is the source of this 1883-nucleotide long non-coding RNA. RefSeq lists it as uncharacterized. The record is from RefSeq and is a predicted model, not a curated record. Lineage: Eukaryota; Viridiplantae; Streptophyta; Magnoliopsida; Rosales; Rosaceae. The transcript has 3 exons.